This 495-nucleotide ribosomal RNA is filed under the name uncultured bacterium. RNAcentral's name for it is "partial 16S ribosomal RNA". It matches the Rfam family "Bacterial small subunit ribosomal RNA", at positions 28 to 507 of the family's 1533-position model. The record is from RNAcentral.
GACGAACGCUGGCGGCGUGCCUAAUACAUGCAAGUAGAACGCUGAAGGAGGAGCUUGCUCUUCUGGAUGAGUUGCGAACGGGUGAGUAACGCGUAGGUAACCUGCCUGGUAGCGGGGGAUAACUAUUGGAAACGAUAGCUAAUACCGCAUAAUAGUAGAUGUUGCAUGAUAUUUACUUAAAAGGUGCAGUUGCACCACUACCAGAUGGACCUGCGUUGUAUUAGCUAGUUGGUGGGGUAACGGCUCACCAAGGCGACGAUACAUAGCCGACCUGAGAGGGUGAUCGGCCACACUGGGACUGAGACACGGCCCAGACUCCUACGGGAGGCAGCAGUAGGGAAUCUUCGGCAAUGGACGAAAGUCUGACCGAGCAACGCCGCGUGAGUGAAGAAGGGUUUCGGAUCGUAAAGCUCUGUUGUAAGAGAAGAACGAGUGUGAGAGUGGAAAGUUCACACUGUGACGGUAUCUUACCAGAAAGGGACGGCUAACUACGUG